CCCUCCACGGGAAUACGUAGGGUGCAAGCGUUAAUCGGAAUUACUGGGCGUAAAGCGUGCGCAGGCGGUUAUAUAAGACAGAUGUGAAAUCCCCGGGCUCAACCUGGGAACUGCAUUUGUGACUGUAUAGCUAGAGUACGGCAGAGGGGGAUGGAAUUCCGCGUGUAGCAGUGAAAUGCGUAGAUAUGCGGAGGAACACCGAUGGCGAAGGCAAUCCCCUGGGCCUGUACUGACGCUCAUGCACGAAAGCGUGGGGAGCAAACAGGAUUAGAUACCCCCGUAGUCCCUGUCUCUUAUACAC
This 301-nucleotide ribosomal RNA is filed under the name uncultured bacterium. RNAcentral's name for it is "partial 16S ribosomal RNA". It matches the Rfam family "Bacterial small subunit ribosomal RNA", at positions 508 to 809 of the family's 1533-position model. The record is from RNAcentral.